UGCAUAUCCAUAAGCGGAGGAAAAGAAACUAACAAGGAUUCCCCUAGUAACGGCGAGUGAAGCGGGAAGAGCUCAAAUUUGAAAUCUGGCAGUCUUCGAUUGUCCGAGUUGUAAUCUAUAGAGGCGUUUUCCGUGCCGGACCGUGUCCAAGUCUCCUGGAAAGGAGUAUCAAAGAGGGUGAUAAUCCCGUACUUAACACGACCACCGGUGCUCUGUGAUACGUCUUCUACGAGUCGAGUUGUUUGGGAAUGCAGCUCAAAAUGGGUGGUGAAUUCCAUCUAAAGCUAAAUAUUGGCGAGAGACCGAUAGCGAACAAGUACCGUGAGGGAAAGAUGAAAAGCACUUUGGAAAGAGAGUUAAACAGUACGUGAAAUUGUUGAAAGGGAAACGAUUGAAGUCAGUCGUGUUCUUUGGAUUCAGCCAGUUCUGCUGGUCUACUUCCUUGGAACGGGUCAACAUCAGUUUUGUCCGGUGGAUAAAGGUAGUAGGAAUGUGACUUCUCCGGAAGUGUUAUAGCCUAUUAUCACAUACACUGGGUGAGACUGAGGACUGCAGCUCGCCUUUAUGGCCGGCCUUCGGGCACGUUCGAGCUUAGGAUGUUGACAUAAUGGCUUUAAACGACCCGUCUUGAACACCGACCA
RNAcentral lists this ribosomal RNA (641 nucleotides) under Trichosporon asahii. Its description in RNAcentral is "eukaryotic LSU rRNA". It matches the Rfam family "Eukaryotic large subunit ribosomal RNA", at positions 37 to 668 of the family's 3401-position model. Lineage: Eukaryota; Fungi; Basidiomycota; Tremellomycetes; Trichosporonales; Trichosporonaceae. The record is from RNAcentral.